CUCUGUGUACAAUGGAAUAAAAUCAUAGUGCAAACUGGAAGAAUGGCAGAAUGUGAUGACUCAAAAGAGGAUUUAGAUUCAGACAUUGAAUGGUUAGAGCUCUGACUGUCAGCCAAGGAGGACAUGAAGGCAGCACGGCAGAGAGUGUCACAGUUGCAGUGGCUGAUCGCCCUGAUCGCCAAGUGGGGAGCAUCCGACAUUGACGUUCUCUCCUCUUCGCUCCUGAGCCACCUUCCGGCAUCCCAGCGGAGCCCUUCCCGUUCCCAGGAUCCAGUUCUCUUGGGCUCCGCCUGUGGCUGUGCUGUCUGGGACGUGUCCAGGUUGCUGAAUGUGGACCAAAGGUGGGGGCCCCACUUUGGACCCGGACCUCAGCAGACGACUCCCUUGGCCCUGUCUGUGGAGUGUCUCCUAGUCCUGCCUGACGGCACCUCCAAGAGCUGGCCUGGCCCGUCUCUAGAAAACCCCCCCCAGGAGUGAACCAACCAUUCAGCCCAACAACAGACGCAUCUUGAGGAUGAUCGCCCCUGCUGGGAGGGUCCUGCCCAGCCACAGUGCCAAACACCUUAGCCUUCCACUGCGGCCUGAAAUGAAGCACAACUCUGGUUCCAGGUGCCCCUUCCCUUCCUGCACGUGUUUCCACCGAACUCCUUCCCUGAGUUCCAGUUUGAGUCCCAGUCUGCCUGCAUGCAUCCCGGGUGAUUCCAGCAGACUGUCCGCUGCCCCGCGUGGUCUCUUCUCCUGGAGCUCAGACAACAGGAAUCCAGACCCAACCUGUGGAGUUUGACAUCCUGUUGGGUCUCAGUUACUGGAGCCUAGCUGCGGUCUUCUUCAGAAAGUAAACAGGCUGGCUUUGUGCCCACAUUGCACCCACAUUGCAGUUAGCCAGCCAUUCUCCCUGGACUGUGGGGCCCGAGCUCUUGGGUCCGUAACAUUUCCGCCACCGUUUGUCCUCUGAUCAGUUCCCCUCUUGCUUGGUCACGCUGUGUAGAGGGAUGACCUGAUCUAGGCCAUACACCUCAUGCUUUGUGGUGUCGUACACCUCACACUUCUUAAUAAUCACAUUGACCGUGCUCGGAGGAUCAUUCAAGCUAUCUGAUUUUUUUU
This 1104-nucleotide long non-coding RNA is filed under the name Lepisosteus oculatus (spotted gar). RNAcentral's name for it is "lncRNA (ENSLOCG00000023159.1)". Lineage: Eukaryota; Metazoa; Chordata; Actinopteri; Semionotiformes; Lepisosteidae. The record is from RNAcentral.